RNAcentral lists this ribosomal RNA (440 nucleotides) under uncultured bacterium. RNAcentral describes it as "partial 16S ribosomal RNA". It matches the Rfam family "Bacterial small subunit ribosomal RNA", at positions 338 to 795 of the family's 1533-position model. The record is from RNAcentral.
CCUACGGGUGGCAGCAGUGAGGGAUAUUGGUCAAUGGGGGAAACCCUGAACCAGCAACGCCGCGUGAGGGAAGACGGUUUUCGGAUUGUAAACCUCUGUCCUCUGUGAAGAUAAUGACGGUAGCAGAGGAGGAAGCUCCGGCUAACUACGUGCCAGCAGCCGCGGUAAUACGUAGGGAGCAAGCGUGGUCCGGAUUUACUGGGUGUAAAGGGUGCGUAGGCGGCCCUGCAAGUCAGAAGUGAAAUGCAUUGGCUUAACCGGUGAACUGCUGUUGAAACUGUAGGGCUUGAGUGCAGUAGAGGCAGGCGGAAUUCGCGGUGUAGCGGUGAAAUGCGUAGAGAUCGGGAAGAACACCAGUGGCGAAGGCAGCCUGCUGGACUGUAACUGACGCUGAAGCACGAAAGCGUGGGUAGCAAACAGGAUUAGAUACCCUUGUAGUC